GACGAACGCUGGCGGCGUGCUUAACACAUGCAAGUCGAACGGAAAGGCCCUGCUUUUGUGGGGUGCUCGAGUGGCGAACGGGUGAGUAACACGUGAGUAACCUGCCCUUGACUUUGGGAUAACUUCAGGAAACUGGGGCUAAUACCGGAUAGGAGCUCCUGCUGCAUGGUGGGGGUUGGAAAGUUUCGGCGGUUGGGGAUGGACUCGCGGCUUAUCAGCUUGUUGGUGGGGUAGUGGCUUACCAAGGCUUUGACGGGUAGCCGGCCUGAGAGGGUGACCGGCCACAUUGGGACUGAGAUACGGCCCAGACUCCUACGGGAGGCAGCAGUGGGGAAUAUUGCACAAUGGGCGGACGCCUGAUGCAGAAACGCCGCGUGCGGGAUGACGGCCUUCGGGUUGUAAACCGCUUUCGCCUGUGACGAAGCGUGAGUGACGGUAAUGGGUAAAGAAGCACCGGCUAACUACGUG
Molecule: ribosomal RNA, 468 nt
Filed under: uncultured bacterium
Lineage: Bacteria
Description: partial 16S ribosomal RNA
Rfam family: Bacterial small subunit ribosomal RNA
Source: RNAcentral